GAAUUAUCCAGGGGGAGGCCAUUCUAAAGGCCUGAGAUGACUGUUAAUCAGCGAACCCCUAGAACCUGAUCCGGUUAAUGCCGGCGUAGGAAUGGACAAAACCGCUUUA
This 109-nucleotide non-coding RNA is filed under the name Bermanella marisrubri. RNAcentral's name for it is "TPP riboswitch aptamer (THI element)". It matches the Rfam family "TPP riboswitch aptamer (THI element)". From Rfam's summary of the family: Vitamin B(1) in its active form thiamin pyrophosphate (TPP) is an essential coenzyme that is synthesised by coupling of pyrimidine and thiazole moieties in bacteria. The previously detected thiamin-regulatory element, thi box was extended, resulting in a new, highly conserved RNA secondary structure, the THI element, which is widely distributed in eubacteria and also occurs in some archaea. The record is from Rfam by way of RNAcentral. Lineage: Bacteria; Pseudomonadati; Pseudomonadota; Gammaproteobacteria; Oceanospirillales; Oceanospirillaceae. RNAcentral also lists the same sequence under 1 other name.